Non-coding RNA from Rattus norvegicus (Norway rat), 6238 nucleotides. The record is from RefSeq and is a predicted model, not a curated record. Lineage: Eukaryota; Metazoa; Chordata; Mammalia; Rodentia; Muridae.
GUUGAUGGGUUCAGAGACCUGAAAAUCCAAAAGGCAAUUAUUCAUAUGCAGGAUGUUGAUGGAAAGAAGAGGUUAAUUCACAACCAACUUGUCAGCCCCGGAGUGGUGGCACAGUCUAGGACCCACACCAGGCCAUGGAAUGCUACCUCCUCCAUUUAGGAGGUAAAGCAUGCCGAGCAGACCUUGGGCACUGGCACCCAGUCCCACAACACCGAGAGGGAGCCCGACUUCCAGGUGCUCUGAAACACCCAGAAAAAUAGGAUCACAGAGGAAGUUUGAUUCCCAGGAUAUCAGACACAACCAGGAGCACUGGAGCUCUGAUACAUGCAAGAUCACAGUUGAGGCCAUAGCAUCUUUUUAAUACACAGCAUAACUGGGAUCCCCACAGGAACCAGGGAAACUCAAACCCUGCCCAGCAAUAGGUACAGGUUCUUUCCAGCUUGCACCUGUGCCUGGAGCAAACCCAGUGCUCUGGUUCCCACCCACUCCUGCAACGCCCUGAGAAAGAUGGACUCUCAGGAGCUCUGACACUCCCAGGAUCUCAGCAUCACAGGAUACCAGAAUUGCAGGAUCACAGAGACAGCUGGACUCUGAGAAGUUCUGACACAACUAUGAUCACAGGAGGGACAGUCUCCAUUCAGAGACAGCAAGGACAGGUAGCACUAGAGAUAACCAGAUGGCAAGAGGGCACAAGCACAAGAAUAAAAGCAACAGAAACCAAGGAUACUUGGCAUCAUUAGAACGCAGUUCUCCCACCACAGCAAGUCCUGGAUAAGCAACCCAUCACAGAAGAAAAGCAAGAUUCAGAUUUAAAAUUCACAUCUCAUGAUGAUGAUAGGGGACUUUAGGAAGGACAUAAAUAACUCCCUUAAAGAAAUACAGGAGAACACAGGUAAGCAGGUAAAAGCCCUUAAAGAGGAAACACAAAAAUCCCUUAAAGAAUUAUAGGAAAACACAAUGAAACAGGUGAAGGAAUUGAACAAGAACAUCCAGGGUCAAAAAAUGGAAAAUAGAAACAACAAAGAAAUCACAAAGGGAGAAAACUGUGGAGAUAGAAAACCUAGGAAAGAAAUUAGGAGUCAUAGAUGCAAGCAUCACCAAGAGAAUACAGGAGAUAGAAGAGCGAAUUUCAGGUGCAGAAGAUGCCAUAGAAAAUAUUGACACAACAGUCAAAGAAAAUGUAGUAUGCAAAAAAAGUCCUAACCCAAUACAUCCAGGAAAUCUAGGACAAAAUGAGAACAACAAAAUUAAGGCUAAUAGGUAUAGAAGAGAACAGAGAUUCCCAACUUAAAGGGCCAGUAAAUAUCUUCAAAAAAUUAUAAAAAACAACAAAAAAAAACAAAAACAAACAAACAAAAAACUUCCCUAACCUAAAGAAAGAGAUGCCCAUGAACUUACAAUAAGCCUACAGAACUCCAAAUAGACUGGACCAGAAAAGAAACUCCUUCUAUCAUAUAAUAAUCAAAACACCAAAUGUACAAAACAAAGAAAAUAUUAAAAGCAGUAAGGGGAAAAGGUCAAGUAACAUAUAAAGGCAGACAUAUCAGAAUUACACCUGACUUCUCACCAGAAAUUAUAAAAGCCAGAAGAUCCUGGGGAGAUGUCAUUCAGACCCUAAGAGAACACAAAUGCCAACCCAGGCUACUAUAUCCAGCAAAACUCUCAAUUAACGUAGAUGGAUAAACCAAAAUAUUCCAUGAUAAAAACAAAUAUACAUAAUAUCUUUCCACAAAUCAAGCCAUACAAAGGAUAGUAGAAAGAAAAUUCCAACACAAGGAGGGAAACUACACCCUAGAAAAAGCAAGAAAGUAAUAUUUUUUCAACAAACCCAAAAGAAGAUAGCCAUCCAAAAUAAUUCCACCUCUACCAACAAAAAUAGCAGGAAGCAACUUUUCCUUAAUGUCUCAUAACAUCAAUGGACUCAAUUCUCCAAUAAAAAGACACAGAUUAACUGAAUGGAUACAUAAACAGGACCAAACAUUUUGCUGCAUACAGGAAACACACCUCAGUGAAAAAGACAGACACUACCUCAGAGUAAAAGGCUGGAAAAUUUUUUCCAAGCAAAUGGUCCAAAGAAACAAGCUGGAGUAGCCAUUCUACUAUUGAAUAAAAUUGACUUUCAGCCAAAAGUUAUCAAAAUAGAUAAGGAAGGACACUUCAUACUCAUCAAAGGAAAAGUCUACCAAGACGAACUCUCAAUUCUGAACACCUAUGCUCCAAAUGCAAGGGCACCCACAUUCAUAAAAGAAACUUUACUAAAGCUCAAGGCACACAUUGCACCUCACAUAAUAACAGUGGAAGACUUUAACGCCCCACUCUCAUCAAUGGACAGAUCAUGGAAACAGAAAUUAAACAGAGACACAGUGAAACUAACAGAAGUUAUGAACCAAGUGGAUUUAACAGAUAUCUAUAGAACAUUUCAUCCUAAAACAAAGAAUAUACUUUCUUCUCAGCACCUCAUGGUACCUCCUUCAAAACUGACCAUAUAAUCAGUCACAAAACAGGCUUCAACAGAUACAAGAAUAUUGAAAUAAUCCUGAGCAUUCUAUCAGAUCACCACAGACUAAGGCUGGUCUUCAAUACAGAAAGCCUAAAUACACAUGGAAGCUGAAAAAUGCUCUACUUAAUGAUAACUUGGUCUGGGAAGGCAUAAAGAAAGAAAUUAAAGACAUUUUAGAAUUUAAUGAAAAUGAAGGCACAACAUACAAAAACUUAUGGGACACAAUGAAAGCAGUGCCAAGAGGAAAACUCAUAGCCCUGAGUGCCUCCAAAAAGAAACUGGAAAGAGCAUACACUAGCACCUUGUCAACACACCUGAAAGCUCUAGGACAAAAAGAAGCAAAUACCUCCAAGAGUAGAUGGCAGGAAAUAAUCAAACUCAGGGCUGAAAUCAACCAAGUAGAAACAAAAAGAACUAUACCAAGAAUCAACAAAACCAAGAGCUGGUUCUUUGAGAAAAUCAACAAGAUAGAUAAACCCUUAGCCAGACUAACCAGAGGGCACAGAGACAGUUUCCAAAUUAACAAAUCAGAAAUGAAAAGGAAACAUAACAAUAGAACUGAGGGAAUUCAAAAAACUAUCAGAUCCUACUACAAAAACCUAUGUUCAACAGAACUGGAAAAUCUGGAUCAAAUGGACAAAUUUCUGGACAGAUAUUAAGUACCAAAGUUAAAUCAGGAUCAGAUAAACCAUCUAAAAAGUUCCAUAACUCCUAAAGGAAGAGAAGCAGUCAUUAAAAGUCCCCCAACCAAAAUAAACAAAAGAAAAAAAAAAGAAGCCCACGACUAAAUAGAUUUAGUGCACAAUUCUAUCAGUCCUUCAUAGAAAACCUAAUGCCAAUACUCUCCACACUAUUCCACAAAAUAGAAACAGAAGGAACACCACCCAAUUUGUUUUAUGAAGCCACAAUCACAGUUACACCUAAACCACACAAAUACCAUACAAAGAAAGAGAACUUCAAACCAAUUUUCCUUAUGAAUAUCAAUGCCAAAAUUCUGAAUAAAAUUCUCGAAAACCCAAUCCAAAAACACUUCCCAAUGAUCAUCCAUCAUGAUCAAGUAGGCUUCAUCCCAGAGAUGCAGGGGUGGUUCAAUAGAUAGAAAUCCAUCAACAUAAUCCACUAUAUAAUCAAAUUCAAAGAAAAAACGUGAUUAUCUUAUUAGAUACUGAGAAAUCAUUGGACAAAAUCCAACACCUCUUCAUUGUAAAAGUCAUGGAAAGAUCAGGAAUUCCAGGCCCAUACCUAAACAUAGUAAAAGCCAUAUACAGCAAACCAGUAGCCAACAUUAAACUAAAUGGAGAGAAACUUGAAACAAUCCCACUAAAAGCAGGGACUAGACAAGGCUGCCCACUCUCCCCCUACCUAUUCAAUAUGGUACUAGAAGUCCUAGCCAGACCAAUUAGCCAACCAAAGGUGGUCAAAGGGAUGCAAAUCAGAAAGGAAGACAUCAAAAUAUCACUAUUUGUAGAAGGUAUGUAUACUUAAGUGACUCGAAAUAAUUACAUCAGAGAACUCCUACAGCUGAAAGAAACUUCAACAAAGUGGCUGGGUAUAAUCUUAACUCAAACAAAUCAGUAGCCUUCCUCUUCUCAAAGGAUAAAUAAGUUGAGAAAGAAAGUAGGGAAACAGCACCCUUCACAAUAGUCACAAAUAAUAUAAAAUACCUUGGUAUGACUCUAACCAAGCAAGUGAAAGAUCUAUAUGACAAGAACUUCAAGUCUCUGAAGAAAGAAAUCAAAGAUCUCUGAAGAUGGAAAGAUCUCUUAUGUUCAUGUAUGAGCAGGAUUAAUAGUGUAAAAAUGGCCAUCUUGCUGAAAGCAAUCUACAGAUUCAAUGCAAUUCCCACCAAAAUUCCAACUCAAUUCAUCAUUGAGUUAGAAAGAACAAUUUGCAAAUUCAAUAAUUUGGAAUAACAAAAAACCCAGGAUAGUGAAAACUAUUCUCAACCAUUACAGAACUUCUGGGGGAAUCACCAUCCCUAACCUUAAGCUGCGUUACAGAGCAAUAGUCAUAAAAACUGUAUGGUAUUGGUACAGAGACUGGCAGGUAGAUCAGUGGAACAGAACUGAAGACCCAGAAACGAACCCACACACCUAUAAUCACUUGAUUUUUGACAAAGGAGCUAAAAACAUCCAAUAGAAAAAAAGAUACCAUUUUCAAAAAUUGGUGCUGGUUCAACUGGAGAUCAGCAUGUAGAAGAAUGCAAAUCAAUCCAUUCUUAUCACCCUGUACAAAGUUCAAGUCCAAGUGGAUCAAGGACCUCCACAUCAAACCAGAUAUACUCAAACUAAUAGAAGAAAAAGUGGGGAAGAGUCUCAAACACAUGGGCACUUGGGAAAAUUUCCUGAACAAAACACCAAUGGCUUAUGCUCUAAGAUCAAGAAUCAACAAACGGGAUCUCAUAAAACUACAAAACUUCUGUAAGGCAAAGGACACUGUGGUUAGGACAAAACAGCAACCAACAGAUCUUUACCAAUCCUACAUCCAAUCAAGGGCUAAUAUCCAAGAUUUACAAGAAACUCAAAUAGUUAAACUCCAAAGACCCAAAUAACCCUAUUAAAAAUGAGGUACAGAGCUAAACAAAACAUUCUCAGCUGAGAAAUAUCGAAUGGCCAAAAAGCACCUAAAGAAAUGUUCAACAUCCUUAGUCAUCAGGGAAAUGCAAAUCAAAACAACCCUGGGAUUCCACCUCACACCAGUCAGAAUGGCUAAGAUCAAAAACUCAGGUUACAGCAGAUGCUGGCGAGGAUGUGGAGAAAGAGGAACACUCCUCCAUUGUUGGUGGGAAUGCAGACUGGUACAACCAUUCUGGAAAUCAGUCUGGAGGUUCCUCAGAAAAUUGAACACACCUGAGGACUCAGCUACACCUCCCCUGGGCAUAUACCCAAAGAUGUUCCAGCAUACAACAAAGACACAUGCUCCACUAUGUUCAUAGCAGCCUUAAUUAUGAUAGUCAGAAGUUGGAAAGAAUCCAGAUGUCCUUAACAGAGGAAUGGAUACAGAAAAUGUGGUACAUUUACACAAAGGAGUACUCAGCUAUUAAAAGCAAUGUCUAAAUGAAAUUCUUGGGCAAAUGGAUGGAACUAGAAAAUAUCAUCCUGAGUGAGGUAACCCAAUCACAGAAAAACACACAUGGUAUGCACUCACUGGUAAGUGGAUAUUAGCCCAAAAUUUGGAACACCCAUAAUACAAUUAUAGACCCCAUGAAGCUCAAGAAGGAAGACCAAAGUGUGGAUGCUUCUGUCCUUUUUACAAGAGAGAACAAAAUACUCAUGGGAGGAAACAUGGAGACAAAGUGUGGAGCAGAGACUGACGGAGAGACCUUCCAGAGACUGCCCCAUCUGGGGAUCCAUCCCACAUACAGUCACCAAACCUAGAUGCUAUUGUAAUGCCAACAAGUGCAUGCUGCAGGAGCCUGAUAUAGCUGUCUCCUGAGAGGCUCUGCCAGAGCCUGACAAAUACAGAGGCGGAUGCUUGCACCCAACCAUUGGACAGAGAACGGGGUCCCCAAUGGAGGAGGUAGAGAAAGGGAUGAAGGAGCUGAAGGGGUUUGCAACCCCACAGGAAGAACAACAAUACCAGCCAACCAGACACCCCACAGCUCCCAAGGACUAAACCAGCAACAAGAGUACACAUGGAGCAACCUAUGGCUCCAGCUACACAUGUAGCAGAGGAAGGCCUUUCAGGGCAUCAGUGGGAGGAGAGGCCCUUGGUCCUGUGAAGACCAUAGUGUAAGGG